Molecule: small nucleolar RNA, 66 nt
Organism: Corvus moneduloides (New Caledonian crow)
Lineage: Eukaryota; Metazoa; Chordata; Aves; Passeriformes; Corvidae
Gene: SNORD24
Rfam family: Small nucleolar RNA SNORD24
About the family: U24 is a member of the C/D class of snoRNA which contain the C (UGAUGA) and D (CUGA) box motifs. C/D box snoRNAs have been shown to act as methylation guides for a number of RNA targets. U24 is encoded within an intron of the gene for ribosomal protein L7a in mammals, chicken and Fugu.
Source: Ensembl
UGCAGAUGAUGAUCACUUUUUGCUGUGUAAAGAAAUGUGAUGACAACCACCAAGAUCGCUGAUGCA